This is a small nucleolar RNA of Leptonychotes weddellii (Weddell seal), 133 nucleotides long. RefSeq annotates it as small nucleolar RNA SNORA70. The record is from RefSeq and is a predicted model, not a curated record. NCBI's taxonomy places the organism in Eukaryota, Metazoa, Chordata, Mammalia, Carnivora, Phocidae.
AGGCGCCCCAAGUUUGGUUACUUUUAAAUCAUAGUACUUGCCCAGUGUGCCAUGGCUGCAAACAGUAGCCUCCUUGGUAGUGUAUGCAGCCUGUUGAUUGUAUGGGUUGCCCUAAGGGACUUUGGAGACAGCU